Molecule: transfer RNA, 71 nt
Filed under: Ophionotus victoriae
Lineage: Eukaryota; Metazoa; Echinodermata; Ophiuroidea; Amphilepidida; Ophiuridae
Description: tRNA-Lys
Source: RNAcentral
CUUUAAUUAACUUAUUUAUAAAGUAUAUGAUUCUUGAUCAUAAAAAAGUGGAGAAUUACCACUAUUAAAGA